AUGGACCUGGACGGCUUCCCACUCGACCAAGAGUUCCCAGACGACUACGGUCAAGAGGAAGAGGACGAGUGCGACAUCGAAGUGGAGCCUUUGUUCGAGGACAAGCUCGCCAACCAAGCCGCCGGUCCUAAGCCGAAGCGCAAGAGCAAGCGCACGAAGGCAUACACGACUGCCAAGGACAAGCUUCUUUACGAGUGUUGGCGAGACAUUGGACAAGACCCAAGAGGCGCCGAACAAAAGCAUUCAACCUCUUGGAUUCGUGUCCACUAAGAGUUUCAUGAGCGCAAGAAGUUUCCGCCUUACCAAAUUGUGAGCACGCGCGGGUGGGUGUCCAUUUCCAAGCGAUGGAGGGUCAUCCAACAAGAGUGCAGCAAGUUCGAGGCCGCCAACGCCAAGACCAAGGCGAAAGAAGUGACUCUCGCGAGCAUGAUGAGCGGGGUGGAGAUCAUGAAGGUGGAUCUCAACACCGUGUCGCCAAGGAAGAGGGCGUAG
This 492-nucleotide ribosomal RNA is filed under the name Triticum aestivum (bread wheat). RNAcentral's name for it is "partial small subunit ribosomal RNA". The record is from RNAcentral. Lineage: Eukaryota; Viridiplantae; Streptophyta; Magnoliopsida; Poales; Poaceae.